UAAAGCAAGAAAGGGCGUAUGGGGAAUGCCUAGGCACACUCCGGCGAAGAAGGACGCAGCAAACAGCGAAAUGCGACGGUGAGCGGUAAGCACGUGAAGAGCCGUCGAUAUCCGAAUGGGGGAACCCACACGGAGUCAUAUCCGUGUAUCACAUGUCGAAUACAUAGACAUGAUGAGGCGAGACGCAGGGAACUGAAACAUCUAAGUACCUGCAGGAAGAGAAAAUAAGAAUGAUUUUCUGAGUAGCGGCGAGCGAAAGGGAAAGAGCCCAAACCGAUCUGAGGAUCGGGGUAGUAGGAUCAUCGAUAAAUCAAACAGAGGAUCAUAGAGGAAUCACAUGGGAAGGUGAGCGAGAGAGGGUGAGAGCCCCGUACUCGAAAUGAGAGACUGGAGAGAGAUGACACCUGAGUAGGGCGGGACACGAGAAAUCCUGUCUGAAUCAGCCGGGACCAUCCGGCAAGGCUAAAUACGAGAGAGUGACCGAUAGUGAACCAGUACCGUGAGGGAAAGGUGAAAAGAACCCCGGGAGGGGAGUGAAAGAGAACCUGAAACCAUAUGCCUACAAGAAGUCAGAGCCCGUUAAAGGGUGAUGGCGUGCCUUUUGUAGAAUGAACCGGCGAGUUACUGUAUGGAGCGAGGUUAAGCAGGAUAUGCGGAGCCGAAGCGAAAGCGAGUCUUAAGAGGGCGCGAGUUGCAUGCAGUAGACCCGAAACCGGGUGAUCUAGCCAUGACCAGGUUGAAGUUGGGGUAAAACCCGAUGGAGGACCGAACCGACCCCCGUUGAAACGUUGGCGGAUGAGUUGUGGCUAGGGGUGAAAUUCCAAUCGAACCCGGAGAUAGCUGGUUCUCCCCGAAAUAGCUUUAGGGCUAGCGUCGAGAGAAGAGUUGCGUGAAGGUAGAGCACUGAAUAUGUGAUGGCCCCAUCUCGGGGUACUGAGCAUAAUCAAACUGCGAAUGUCACGCCAACAUGCUCGGCAGUCAGACAGCGGGUGAUAAGGUCCGUUGUCAAGAGGGAAACAGCCCAGACCAUCAGCUAAGGUCCCAAAAUGUAUGCUAAGUGGAAAAGGAUGUGGAGAUGUACAGACAACUAGGAGGUUGGCUCAGAAGCAGCCAUCCUUUAAAGAGUGCGUAACAGCUCACUAGUCGAAUGACUCUGCGCCGAUAAUUUACCGGGGCUAAGCAUACUACCGAAGCUAUGGAUCCCAAGGGAUGGUAGGGGAGCGUUCCAUGAACGGAGAAGUACGACCGAAAGGACGUGUGGAGAUCAUGGAAGAGAGAAUGCCGGUGUGAGUAGCGGAACGUGGGUGAGAAUCCCACGCACCGAAAACCCAAGGUUUCCAGAGGAAGGUUCGUCCGCUCUGGGUAAGUCGGGACCUAAGGCGAGGCCGAAAGGCGUAGUCGAUGGACAACAGGUAGAGAUUCCUGUACCCGUAUAUAUGUGAAGGAAUGACGGAGAGAGGAAGCUGCAGCCAGCGGCUGGAAGAGCUGGUGCAAGCGAGAUAUCGGGAUGGCAGGCAAAUCCACCAUCCGAAACGAGAAGGCGUGAAGCGUACGGAAAGCUACGGCGAGUACGGAAGGCAGUGGAGGAACUUCCAAGAAAAGUUUCUAACGUUAAGUAUAUAUGGCCCGUACCGAAAAUGGACACACAUGGGUGAGGAGAGAAUCCUAAGGUGAGCGAGAGAACUAUAGCUAAGGAACUCUGCAAAAUGACUCCGUAACUUAGGGAGAAGGAGUGCUCAUAGAGAUAUGAGCCGCAGUGAAACGGCCCAAGCGACUGUUUACCAAAAACACAGCUCUCUGCUAAGCCGCAAGGCGAAGUAUAGGGGGUGACGCCUGCCCGGUGCUGGAAGGUUAAGGGGAGGGGUUAACGCAAGUGAAGCCCUGAACUGAAGCCCCAGUAAACGGCGGCCGUAACUAUAACGGUCCUAAGGUAGCGAAAUUCCUUGUCAGGUAAGUUCUGACCCGCACGAAUGG
RNAcentral lists this ribosomal RNA (1974 nucleotides) under human gut metagenome. RNAcentral describes it as "bacterial LSU rRNA". It matches the Rfam family "Bacterial large subunit ribosomal RNA", at positions 1 to 1999 of the family's 2925-position model. The record is from RNAcentral.